This 46-nucleotide small RNA is filed under the name Neorhodopirellula pilleata. RNAcentral describes it as "Acido-Lenti-1 RNA". It matches the Rfam family "Acido-Lenti-1 RNA". Lineage: Bacteria; Pseudomonadati; Planctomycetota; Planctomycetia; Pirellulales; Pirellulaceae. The record is from Rfam by way of RNAcentral.
CCCCAUGCUGACGCAUGGGGCUACAUGCUAUCGCGGCUCCGCCGCU